Molecule: ribosomal RNA, 365 nt
Filed under: uncultured bacterium
Lineage: Bacteria
Description: bacterial SSU rRNA
Rfam family: Bacterial small subunit ribosomal RNA
Source: RNAcentral
AAUCAACGCUGGCGGCGUGCCUAACACAUGCAAGUCGAACGAGAAAGUGGAGCAAUCCAUGAGUACAGUGGCGCACGGGUGAGUAACACGUGACUAACCUACCCAGGAGUGGGGAAUAACUUCGGGAAACCGAGGCUAAUACCGCAUAACACCUACGGGUCAAAGGAGCAAUUCGCUUCUGGAGGGGGUCGCGGCCGAUUAGUUAGUUGGCAGGGUAAUGGCCUACCAAGACGAUGAUCGGUAUCCGGCCUGAGAGGGCGCACGGACACACUGGAACUGAAACACGGUCCAGACUCCUACGGGAGGCAGCAGUGGGGAAUUUUGCGCAAUGGGGGAACCCUGACGCAGCAACGCCGCGUGGAGGA